RNAcentral lists this ribosomal RNA (273 nucleotides) under uncultured bacterium. RNAcentral's name for it is "partial 16S ribosomal RNA". It matches the Rfam family "Bacterial small subunit ribosomal RNA", at positions 523 to 796 of the family's 1533-position model. The record is from RNAcentral.
AUACGGAGGGUCCGAGCGUUAAUCGGAAUUACUGGGCGUAAAGCGUACGUAGGUGGCUUGAUAAGUCGGAUGUGAAAGCCCUGGGCUCAACCUGGGAACUGCAUUCGAUACUGUCUGGCUAGAGGAUAGUAGAGGCAAGUGGAAUUCCGGGUGUAGCGGUGAAAUGCGUAGAUAUCCGGAGGAACACCAGUGGCGAAGGCGGCUUGCUGGACUAAUACUGACACUGAGGUACGAAAGCGUGGGAGCAAACAGGAUUAGAAACCCCGGUAGUCC